GAUAUAGCUCAGUUGGUAGAGUGCUUGCCUCACAUGCAUAAGGCCCUGGGUUCAAUCCCCAGCAUC
RNAcentral lists this transfer RNA (66 nucleotides) under Sciurus carolinensis (gray squirrel). It matches the Rfam family "tRNA". Rfam says of the family: Transfer RNA (tRNA) molecules are approximately 80 nucleotides in length. Their secondary structure includes four short double-helical elements and three loops (D, anti-codon, and T loops). RNAcentral also lists the same sequence under 1 other name. The record is from Rfam by way of RNAcentral. Lineage: Eukaryota; Metazoa; Chordata; Mammalia; Rodentia; Sciuridae.